UACGUAGGGGGCGAGCGUUGUCCGGAUUUAUUGGGCGUAAAGAGCUUGUAGGCGGUUCGAUAAGUCGGACGUGAAAUCUCCACGCUCAACGUGGAGGGGCCGUUCGAUACUGUCGUGACUCGAGUCCGGUAGGGGAGUGUGGAAUUCCCGGUGUAGCGGUGAAAUGCGCAGAGAUCGGGAGGAACACCCGUAGCGAAGGCGGCACUCUGGGCCGGUACUGACGCUGAGGAGCGAAAGCGUGGGGAGCAAACAGG
This 254-nucleotide ribosomal RNA is filed under the name uncultured bacterium. Its description in RNAcentral is "partial 16S ribosomal RNA". It matches the Rfam family "Bacterial small subunit ribosomal RNA", at positions 524 to 776 of the family's 1533-position model. The record is from RNAcentral.